Molecule: ribosomal RNA, 523 nt
Filed under: uncultured bacterium
Lineage: Bacteria
Description: bacterial SSU rRNA
Rfam family: Bacterial small subunit ribosomal RNA
Source: RNAcentral
AGUCUAGCAACAGCUAGAGUUUGAUCCUGGCUCAGGACGAACGCUGGCGGCGUGCUUAACACAUGCAAGUCGAACGGAGAUAGGAAGAGCUUGCUCUUCCGAAUCUUAGUGGCGGACGGGUGAGUAACGCGUGAGCAACCUGCCUUUCAGAGGGGGACAACGUUUGGAAACGAACGCUAAUACCGCAUAAGAUCGUAGGGCCACAUGGUCCAGCGACCAAAGGAGCAAUCCGCUGAAAGAUGGGCUCGCGUCUGAUUAGAUAGUUGGUGGGGUAACGGCCUACCAAGUCGACGAUCAGUAGCCGGACUGAGAGGUUGAACGGCCACAUUGGGACUGAGAUACGGCCCAGACUCCUACGGGAGGCAGCAGUUAGGAAUAUUGGGCAAUGGAGGAAACUCUGACCCAGCAACGCCGCGUGAAGGAAGAAGGUUUUCGGACUGUAAACUUCUGAUCUAAGGGAAAAAGAAAGUGAUGGUACCUUAGGAGAAAGCCACGGCUAACUACGUGCCAGCAGCCGCGGUAA